AUCUUUCCUAUCACAUUAUCCAUGGUCUCUUUCCAAGUAUUUAAUGACAUAUCUGAAUUUUUUUCCAUGCCAUUAACACAUAAUUUUGGUAAGUUGUUCCUUCAGCCCUAAAUCUAGAACCUUGAACCCCAAAUCUGAACACCGAAUCCAAACCUUGAACCUCGAAUUUUAAACCCUAAACUCAAACCCAAACCCUAAAUCCUAAAACUUAAGUUCAAGGUUUAGGGUUCAAAUUUGGGGCUCAAGGUUUAGGUUCGAGGUUGAAGGUUUGGGCUUAGGGUUUAAGGUUUAGGGUUUUGGGUUCAAGGUUUAAGAUUCAAGAUUUAAGAUUCAGAGUUGGGGGUUCUAGGUUUAAGGUUCAAGGUAAAAGAAAAUUAUAAAAAUUAUGUGUCAAUGACAUAAAAAAAUUGUUAAAAUGUCAUUAAAUAAUUAGAAAUGGACCAUGGAUGAUGUGGGGGUAAGA
Molecule: microRNA precursor, 463 nt
Filed under: Gossypium raimondii (Peruvian cotton)
Lineage: Eukaryota; Viridiplantae; Streptophyta; Magnoliopsida; Malvales; Malvaceae
Description: miR8674b stem-loop (gra-MIR8674b)
Source: miRBase by way of RNAcentral